RNAcentral lists this transfer RNA (73 nucleotides) under Stegodyphus mimosarum. It matches the Rfam family "tRNA". Rfam says of the family: Transfer RNA (tRNA) molecules are approximately 80 nucleotides in length. Lineage: Eukaryota; Metazoa; Arthropoda; Arachnida; Araneae; Eresidae. The record is from Rfam by way of RNAcentral.
GCCUUCGUGGUGUAAUGGUCAGCACACUGAGCCGUAAUUUCAGAGGUCCGUGGUUCGAUCCCCGGCGAAGGCA